Leptonychotes weddellii (Weddell seal) is the source of this 3509-nucleotide non-coding RNA. NCBI's taxonomy places the organism in Eukaryota, Metazoa, Chordata, Mammalia, Carnivora, Phocidae. The record is from RefSeq and is a predicted model, not a curated record.
CCUCAUAUUUUGGAUUCUGGCUGCAUUAUGAUGAAUGACACUUUGACAUCAGAUGUCAUUGGUCGACGAGUUGCCGUUAAUGGAGAACAUGCAACAGUGCGUUUUUCUGGUAUUGUCCCUCCUGUGGCAGGACUCUGGUUAGGAGUAGAAUGGGACAAUCCCGAGAGAGGAAAGCAUGAUGGAAGCCACGAGGGGACUGUGUAUUUUAAAUGCAGGCACCCAACAGGAGGAUCCUUUAUUCGUCCCAACAAAGUAAAUUUUGGAGUGGACUUUCUCACUGCAGUGAAGAAUCGCUAUGUGUUAGAAGAUGGACCAGAGGAGGAUGUAAAAGAGCAAAUCGUUAUAAUUGGAAAUAAACCCGUGGAAACUAUUGGGUUUGACUCUAUUAUAAAACAGCAAAGUCAGCUGAGCAAGUUGCAAGAAAUUUCUCUGAGGAACUGUGCAGUGAAUUGUGCUGGUGACAGAGGAACAAUUGCCAAAGCAUGUCCUAAUAUCAGAAAAGCAGAUUUGUCAAGAAACCUGUUGUCCUCGUGGGAUGAAGUCCUAGAUAUUGCUGAUCAGCUCAAACACCUGGAAGUUCUUAAUCUCAGUGAGAAUAAACUCCGCUUUCCCUCGGGUUCACCGUCUCGAACCGGAACAUUUCCUGCACUGAAGGUUUUAGUCCUUAACCGAACAGGAAUAACAUGGGCGGAGGUGCUCCGGUGUGCCUCUGGAUGGCCAGUCCUUAAGGAGCUGUACCUCAAGUCCAACGAUCUUUUCAUUUCAGAAAGGCCGGCUGAUGUUCUACAGACAGUCAAAUUAUUAGACCUUUCCUCUAAUCAAUUAAUUGAUGAAAAUCAGCUGCUUCUAAUAGCCUAUCUGCCCAGAUUAGAACAACUAAUCCUUUCUGACAUUGGAAUUUCUUCUAUACAUUUUCCGGAUGCUGGAACUGGGCACAAAACAUCCAUGUUUCCUUCCUUGCAGUACCUCGUAGUAAAUGACAAUCAGAUAUCACAAUGGCUAUUUAUCAACGAGCUGGAUAAGCUACAGAGUCUGCACGCUCUGUCCUGCAUCAGAAACCCCCUGACCGAAGGGAGCAAGGAAGCAAAGACCACGCGUCAGCUCAUCAUCGCCAAAAUCGGUCAGUUGAAGACCCUGAACAAAUGCGAGAUUCUGCCGGAGGAGAGGCGGGGGGCUGAGCUUGAUUACCGGAAGGCGUUCGGAAAUGAAUGGAAGAAGGCCGGGGGACAUCAGGAUCCAGACAAAAACCGACCCCAUGAGGAGUUUCUCGAAGCGCAUCCCAGAUACCAGCUGCUGUGCCUUAAAUAUGGUGCGCCUGAAGACGGGGAACUCCAAACACAACAACCGUUUCUGCUCAAAAACCGGCUACUGACACUGAAGAUAAAAUACCCUAAUCAAGUUGAUCAGAGAGUCCUAGAGAAACAACUGCCAGUCCCUCUUUCAAGUAUACUGUGAAUUACCGGAUAAAGCCUGAUUCUCGGUUAGAGAGCGGUAUGGGCAGCUUGAGUGUGGAGCGGCGAGGCGCUGAGGAAGAGAUGAAAUGUGUAUCACCCUAAGGGACUCUCGUAAAAUACUUUUCUUUGCUGGUCAGUGCAGUAAUUUCACAUUUUUAAAAUUUCUACUUUGUAGCACUUGUAAUGGCAAAUGUCACCACCACUUAAAUGUUUACCAGCGGGGAAGGAAAGGGCCGACUGAACUCCUGCAGCAUCAGGUAGCAUGAGCGAGAACACGGGAGUCUGGGGCCCCACUGGCCAGUAUGGCUGCUGCAGAUGGCAAUUUAAAUUGAAAUUCAUUAAACUGAAAUAAAAAAAUUCAGUCCUGAGUCGUCCUGAGUGCCGGCUGGCCGCACGGAUGGAUGACUGGACGAGAAAGGAGCACGUGUGGUCAGUACAUUAUGAAACCCACCCGUCCUGACAGAACCGGAGAAAAGCCUGGAAGUGUACACCCCCGUUAAACUUUCACACUCGUCCUAGGGAGGCACAACCAUCUCUACAUUUUCUGAAUGUUAAGACAAUCGUGUGUUAGACGUUUACAUUAGAAAUGGUAACGUUAUUUAGAGCAUUACGUGCAAAUUGCCACCUUUCCUGUAGUCACAGUGCGAGUGGGCAGAUUUCUCAUCAGGACUGUAGGACCAAACGUUUUGUUUCUGACGCGACUUAGGAAUGUGUCCUUUCCGUUGCUAGGUAGGAGUUAACCCAUCACUAACCACCCUCAGAACAGUGGAAGCCGGUGCACUGAAAUCUUUAUAAAAGGACAAGAUUAUCUACACACAUUCACACGUAAAAAAACAAGUUAUGUGAAUGAUGUCAAUUGUUUAUAUUCAACACAUAAACAAGGCCAGUUUUUAUUCUAAAAUAAAGAUAACAUUUAUUAGCACAAGUUGCAUAAAAACACAGACAGCUUUACAAAAAUCAUUUCUGAUAGAAAAAUAUUUGAAUACAUGUGGUAUUUGUAGGAACACCAUACUAUUGCUGUACCUCCAGCUAAAGCUUCAGAGAAACUCUGUUUCUCAUCAAAAUAUCCAGUAUUUACCACCACCCAUCUUUGGAAAGAAGUUCAUAGUGUUUUCUGAACAAACCAAAGCAUUUGCUUGUGAAGCAGGUCCCCUGCGUGCGCUCGCAGGGAGCCUGCGGACUGCCGGUCCCUCCGUCGCUCUACAGAGGGGGAAACCAAGGCAGAGUGAUGGAGAGGCGCCCUCUGGACGCCUGAGCCCCCACUCCAGUGUUCUCUCAGCCAUCCAUGAGCGAGUAAUCACAGAGGUUUAGAAAGUGAAUGAUUUUAACUCACAUUUACUCCUCUCUGCAGAGAAGAUGAUUUCUGGUUUAUUCAGAUGCAGGAGGAAAUAUUCACCACCACUGAAAUGGUAUGAAAAGCCACUGUCAAAGGGCACUUCGGUCAGACACUUGCUCGGUUCCCCACAGCUUCCCACAGGUCAGGUCAGCGGUGUGGAACCGGCUCUCGGGUCCACGCGGUGGGCGAGCCUCUCCCUACUGAUUGCCGCGGGGAACCGGGUACCGUGAAUCGUUGCGACUGGGGUCUUGGCAGGUGAGCUAGUUCUACACGUAACUGUCAUUCGAGAGAACUGAGGGUGUUUCUUUCCUUGACAGACUCCAUGACAAUUCAGAAGGUGAAGGGACUGCUGGCCCGUCUUCUCAAAGUUCCUGUGUCGGAACUUCUGCUGUCCUAUGAAAGCCCCAAAAUGCCUGGCAGAGAGAUUGAACUAGAAAAUGACCAGCAGUCAUUACAGUUUUAUUCUGUGGAAAGUGGAGAUUGUCUAUUGGUGCGAUGGUAACAGUGAACUAAGAAAGUUCGGGGACUGCACUGUUUAUCCUGACUCGGGGCGGGGGGGGGGGUACCGGAAAUAAAGGAUUUAUUGGAACAGUUCUGUUAGAAAAAGAGAGAGGUUUUACACCUUGCCCUAAGUAUAGAAAAGGUGGUAUUUUUCAUUGGGAAGAGACCAUUUCUAGGCUUGUAUAUAACAGUAGUAAUAAAGGCUUUGCACCUACUAA